GGCCGGCAGGGCCGGGCAGGGCACACUCCGUUAUCCAAUCCGGCGUCCGUGCACGCAGCGCACACCAUGUAGGCCACAAGAUCUCAGAUAGCUUAUGUCACGGUGGUGGCAUAAGCUACCAGUACCAGCUGCAUGCCUGUGCUCUUCUUCACUUGGAGGCUUGGAGUGUGCCCUCGGCCAUGGCCCAUGGGCGCGUAAGUAGCACCCGAUGGAUCCGGCGUUGGCUAGCCAUCUCCAUCCUCCAUCAAGCUGCAGCUAGCUAGGCUACUUGGGUUCUUGAGGAAGAUCUGGGUGAAACGGCCAUGGCCGGCCGGCAGGGCCUCGUCCACGGCGGCGGCGGCGGCAACUUUUCACCUCUACUAAGGUAGGGCAACUUCUAUCCUUUGGCAAUUGUAACUUCUUGAUCGGGGGCGUGAUGAUCUCUCUCCUGUGAGUACCGGUGACAGAUCAUAGCAUGGUGCGAGUCUUCAGCGUCGUGUAACUACUAGUAGCUAGCUAUACCAAAUUGAUAUGAAGCUAGCUAGUGGUAACUAGCAUGGGUGUGUGUGUAUGAUUCUGCUUGAAUACUUCGAUUCUGCUAUCUAUGGGCAGUUUACUUGUUGAGUUUUGUAUCUGGUAAUAUAUCUCUUUCGUUAACCCCGGCCCUAGCAAGUUGUCGACUAGUGUACAGUCGAUAAAUCAAUAUAAUUUGAUGUGUGUGCAAAAAAAAAAAAAAAAAAAAAAAAAAAA
RNAcentral lists this microRNA precursor (729 nucleotides) under Triticum aestivum (bread wheat). RNAcentral describes it as "TaIPS1.1". Lineage: Eukaryota; Viridiplantae; Streptophyta; Magnoliopsida; Poales; Poaceae. The record is from RNAcentral.